Molecule: long non-coding RNA, 2578 nt
Organism: Boleophthalmus pectinirostris (great blue-spotted mudskipper)
Lineage: Eukaryota; Metazoa; Chordata; Actinopteri; Gobiiformes; Gobiidae
Exons: 5
Source: RefSeq, a predicted model, not a curated record
CUUGUUCUUGUGUGUAGGCUCACGUGCACGGCCGGCCACGUGCACUCGUCUGACUAAACAAAGAUAUGAGUGAGAGAGGAGCUACUGUAGAACUACUGGUUAAAAGGUGCAGGAGGAGAAGAAUCGUAACUGUCCCAUGAGCCAUUUGAGACCAGAGGUUCCAAAGAAGUGCCAAACUGUGUUAUAUCACUCAAAACUAAACAGGAAGUGCACAGAACCACAAAAUCAUGACGUAACUCUGCCCAUCUCAUUGGUUUCUAUUUUAGGAGGGGAAGGAUAUGAGCAGUGACGAGGUAAAUCCAAGUCAAAUCCCAACUCCAGUGUUUUGAGUUUCAAGUCCUAUCAAGUCUUUAACAACUCAACUGACUCUAACCAAGAAGUAACCACUAACUGUCCACGAAGAAACUCCACAAAAGGUGAAGAACGCUGAUGGUAAUUUAUACUGGUGACUUUAUCCCACUGUAGUCACCAAACCCUUACCUAUUUAAAGGUACAGUAUGGAACUUUCUGGAGGUACCACAUCACCUGCAUGAUUAUAUGAUACGGAAACAGAAAGUUAAAACCAUAAUUUGAAACAUUCUCCAUGGAGAUAGAUACGUUUUAUGCCAUAUUGUAGAAUAUUAUAGCCAAAGAAACCAUAUUUUUAUGGAACAAAGGUUGAAUAAGAGUCAGGUUUGUGGAGAUGCAAGCCCACUCACAGUCAGUGUUGAAGAAUACAUUGUAGUAGCUUGAGAGUUGAAGAGAAGAGACAUGAGGCUGAAGUUCUAACGCAGGUUUAUUGAUACUUUGCAGCUGAUGUCAUCAACAUUUCCUGGAGGUAUGAGGCUAACUGUAGGCACCACUCUGUCUGCAGCUCUGUUACUCAAAUUAUACUUUAAUCUAAUAGGUUUUUUAUACAAUUUAAUCAGUGUGGUGGAUACCUCUGCCACCACUCCAUAGUGUCAGUAUAAUUUCAUUUAAUUUCAUUUACAUUAAGUUAAUCACAUUACACAUACUUUAAUUCCUUUAUUUAGACUUAUAUUCUAGUUUGAGUGCACACAUUUUAGUUAAUAUACUGUAAGUCUGAUUUACUUACACUUGUUCUUUUUGUUUUUUUGAGCACCAGACAGAGGACCCUCAGGAGAAACCAUCAUGACUCAACAAGGAGGGAGGGAACACUAUUUAGUUAGUGUUACUAAGUUAGUUUGUUUAGUUUGUGUUAAGGUCACUUUAUUAUUACUUAUUAUUUUCUGUAUUAUAAUUAUUUGCCUUUUUGUUACUUUGAUAACUUAGUAGAUUAGUUAAUUUUUUAAUAUAAUUCCUCCCUCCUUCCUUCCUCUUGUGUUUAGCUUUAGUUGGUCCUCAAGUAUUUACACAUCCUCGUUCCUUUGUUUGAUUGGGUUAGUUUUGUUCUGUUCAGUUUGAUCUGAGUUACCCCAGUUGGGCCCGACUUUUUUGUUCAUGAUUUUCUUAAUUUUAUCUCCUUUUUUUACUUUAUUGAAUUUAAAUUUAUUUUUAUACCUUGUCUUUGCCUUUCUGUUUGGUCCACUUACAAUCAGAAAGAGUUGACUUAGAUGAAACUACAGCAGGUUUGGUGAUUUGUGCUGUUAAAUAAGUCUCUCACACGUAACUUUACAGUCACAAGCUCACUAUCAUUAGUUUUUCAGUCAUUCUUAACUUUUUGUUGAAAAUCAAACUGCUAAACAGAACCAUGAACACUCAGACUGAUCACAAGCUCCUGAAAAUUUUUCUUUUUUUUUUUUUUUUGUAAUUCAAGUUUUUAUUUUAUUUUACAGUUUUUACCAUGUAAUAUAACAGACAGCAGCACAUUACUUUGGGCCAAAGGAAUAAAACAACAAAUUUAACUGUAUAUAUGCAUAUGCAAGUGCACUCCAUAACAAAAGUAAAAGUGCAUGUGACAAGCCUCCGUAACUCUCUAAUUUCCAUUCAAUUUAACCUGAUACAAAUACAAGUAAUUUCAGUUCUAAAUAAAAAGGCCGAUACCACAUCCAUACAGUGGAAAAACAAAGACUUUUGUCAAUGUACCAGUUUUAAAUGUGUUUUAGACAAUUGAGCAAUCAAACCUGUCAAAGGCAUUUCAAUCAAAAACAGUGCCCAAGAUUUUACAAAAAUGUCCAUGUUAUCAUUCAACCAAGCCAAUAAUGUCUCAUAGGAGAGUAUUUUCAUCAAAUUGUCCAUCUGUUAAAGUCUGGAGGAGAAGGAUUCUUCCAUACACCAAGAAUUACCCGUGCUGCAGUUAUUACCCCCACCUUUAAAACCACAUACUAUCGAAAAACUUUUUUGUCUGUUUGUUAAUGUAUACACUGUGUCACCAUGGUAACUGAUGAACAUUUCGCCAAUAGAGAUACAUGUGGAACACCCCCAACGUGACGUCACUGCAAAGUAUAAAUUGAGCACCAGUACUAGACCCAGCACCUGGAGACAUGGACCCUCCAAACAUUGUGAUAGUGUUGUCCACUCCAGUCUAGCUAUGUUUCUGUUGUAGGGAGUAUUAUACCUCUGAUGAUGCAGGACUGAGCUGGCAGUGAGUACCCUUGAUACAGCACCAAAAUGGAACAGUAAAAUCAAAUGCUUUUCA